This 1233-nucleotide ribosomal RNA is filed under the name metagenome. Its description in RNAcentral is "bacterial LSU rRNA". It matches the Rfam family "Bacterial large subunit ribosomal RNA", at positions 1565 to 2808 of the family's 2925-position model. The record is from RNAcentral.
CGGGUAUGAACGAUUUAUCGUUCUAAGUGAGUGACGUCACACUGCCAAGAAAAGCUUCUAGUUAGAAUCAGACCGCCCGUACCGCAAACCGACACAGGUAGUCGGGUCGAGAAGACCAAGGUGAGCGAGAGAACUCUCGUUAAGGAACUCGGCAAAAUGACCCCGUAACUUCGGGAGAAGGGGUGCUGAUCGCAAGAUCAGCCGCAGUGAAUAGGCCCAGGCGACUGUUUAUCAAAAACACAGGUUUCUGCAAAAUCGUAAGAUGAAGUAUAGGGGCUGACGCCUGCCCGGUGCUGGAAGGUUAAGAGGAUGGGUUAGCGUAAGCGAAGCUCAGAAUUGAAGCCCCAGUAAACGGCGGCCGUAACGAUAACGGUCCUAAGGUAGCGAAAUUCCUUGUCGGGUAAGUUCCGACCCGCACGAAAGGCGUAACGAUCUGGGCACUGUCUCAACGAGAGACUCGGUGAAAUUAUAAUACCCGUGAAGAUGCGGGUUACCCGCGACAGGACGGAAAGACCCCAUGGAGCUUUACUGUAGCUUGAUAUUGGGUGUUUGUACAACUUGUACAGGAUAGGUAGGAGCCGUAGAAGUCGGGACGCUAGUUUCGACGGAGGCAUCGGUGGGAUACUACCCUCGUUGUAUGAACACUCUAACCCACGCCGGCAAUCACGGCGGGAGACAGUGUCAGGUGGGCAGUUUGACUGGGGCGGUCGCCUCCUAAAAGGUAACGGAGGCGCCCAAAGGUUCCCUCAGAAUGGUUGGAAAUCAUUCGCAGAGUGUAAAGGCAUAAGGGAGCUUGACUGCGAGACCUACAAGUCGAGCAGGGACGAAAGUCGGGCUUAGUGAUCCGGUGGUUCCGCAUGGAAGGGCCAUCGCUCAACGGAUAAAAGCUACCCUGGGGAUAACAGGCUUAUCUCCCCCAAGAGUCCACAUCGACGGGGAGGUUUGGCACCUCGAUGUCGGCUCAUCGCAUCCUGGGGCUGUAGUCGGUCCCAAGGGUUGGGCUGUUCGCCCAUUAAAGCGGUACGCGAGCUGGGUUCAGAACGUCGUGAGACAGUUCGGUCCCUAUCCGUCGCGGGCGCAGGAAAUUUGAGAGGAUCUGUCCUUAGUACGAGAGGACCGGGAUGGACAUACCGCUGGUGUACCAGUUGUUCUGCCAAGGGCAUCGCUGGGUAGCUAUGUAUGGAUGAGAUAAACGCUGAAAGCAUCUAAGUGCGAAACUCACCUCGAGAUAAG